AACGAACGCUGGCGGCAGGCCUAACACAUGCAAGUCGAGCGCCCCGCAAGGGGAGCGGCGGACGGGUUAGUAACGCGUGGGAAUGUACCCUUUUCUACGGAAUAGCCUCGGGAAACUGAGAUUAAUACCGUAUACGCCCCCUCAAUCAAAUUUCAUUUGAUUGAAUUUUCAGUCAUAUGAAAUUCCGAAUGGAAUUUGAUGGGGGGGGAAAGAUUUAUCGGAGAAGGAUCAGCCCGCGUAAGAUUAGAUAGUUGGUGGGGUAAUGGCCUACCAAGUCUACGAUCUUUAGCUGGUUUGAGAGGAUGAUCAGCAACACUGGGACUGAGACACGGCCCAGACUCCUACGGGAGGCAGCAGUGGGGAAUCUUAGACAAUGGGCGCAAGCCUGAUCUAGCCAUGCCGCGUGAGUGAAGAAGGCCUUAGGGUCGUAAAGCUCUUUCAGUGGGGAAGAUAAUGACG
This 459-nucleotide ribosomal RNA is filed under the name uncultured Paracoccaceae bacterium. RNAcentral's name for it is "bacterial SSU rRNA". It matches the Rfam family "Bacterial small subunit ribosomal RNA", at positions 29 to 456 of the family's 1533-position model. Lineage: Bacteria; Pseudomonadati; Pseudomonadota; Alphaproteobacteria; Rhodobacterales; Paracoccaceae. The record is from RNAcentral.